GACGAACGCUGGCGGCGUGGAUUAGGCAUGCAAGUCGAACGGUAUCAUCCUUUCGGGGGUGAGAGAGUGGCGAACUGGUGAGUAACACGUAGGUUAUCUACCCUCAAGACGGGGACAACCCAGGGAAACUUGGGCUAAUACCGGAUGUGAGCAACUUUUAGUUGUUUGAAAGGUGGCGUAAGCUGUCGCUUGGGGAUGAGCCUGCGUCCUAUUAGUUAGUUGGUGAGGUAACGGCUCACCUAGGCAAUGAUAGGUAGGCGGCCUUAACGGGUGGUCGCCCACACUGGGAUUGAGAUACGGCCCAGACUCCUACGGGAGGCAGCAGUCGAGAAUAGUCUACAAUGGUCGGAAGACUGAUAGUGCGACGCCGCGUGAACGAUGAAUCCCUUCGGGGUGUAAAGUUCUUUUAUAUGUGAGCAGUGCUUCUUAUAUUAACAGUACGGGGAGAGAGAUAUUAGCAUAUGAAUAAGCAACGGCUAACUCCGUGCCAGCAGCCGCGGUAAACUCGUCU
Molecule: ribosomal RNA, 511 nt
Filed under: uncultured bacterium
Lineage: Bacteria
Description: bacterial SSU rRNA
Rfam family: Bacterial small subunit ribosomal RNA
Source: RNAcentral